UACAGAGGGGGCAAGCGUUAUUCGGAAUUAUUGGGCGUAAAGGGCGCGUAGGCGGCUUUGCAAGUGACGGGUGAAAUCCCUCGGCUUAACCGAGGAACUGCCUGUCAGACUGUGAGGCUUGAGACCGGGAGAGGGGAGUGGAAUUCCCAGUGUAGCGGUGAAAUGCGUAGAUAUUGGGAGGAACACCAGUGGCGAAGGCGGCUCACUGGACCGUAACUGACGCUGAGGUGCGAAAGCUAGGGGAGCAAACGGG
RNAcentral lists this ribosomal RNA (253 nucleotides) under uncultured bacterium. RNAcentral describes it as "partial 16S ribosomal RNA". It matches the Rfam family "Bacterial small subunit ribosomal RNA", at positions 524 to 776 of the family's 1533-position model. The record is from RNAcentral.